UGGAGGAAGCUUAGAUGUUCUUAGGGCUCUGUUCACCACAUAGCCACAGUCAGCAUGGAGGCUGACUGAGUUGCAAACAGCCAUGGAGGGCUGGUUUUGCAACGGUGGCGUACAUUUAUAAAACCUAUACCAGAGUCCUUAGAACAUCUUAGCUUCGUAC
This 160-nucleotide non-coding RNA is filed under the name pig gut metagenome. The record is from RNAcentral.